Ictalurus punctatus (channel catfish) is the source of this 2493-nucleotide long non-coding RNA. The record is from Ensembl. Lineage: Eukaryota; Metazoa; Chordata; Actinopteri; Siluriformes; Ictaluridae.
UGUCUCCAAUCCAAGCAGCAGGCAGAAAGACCUCCUAAAAGUUUGAAUAAACAAGUGUAAAUUUACUCUCUCAAUUGUACAUCUCAAUCCCUAAUCCUGCCCCAAAAAAGCCAGUGGAGAAUCGCCUGCCACUCCCAUGCCGUUCCCCACCGGUGCUGGCUCAGCCUGAGUAGGUUUAUAGUAUUCAGAUUGGUGCCUUAUUUGCCAUAUCAAAGGGAUUUGGUGCUGCAACUUCGACCAGGUUUUCACAAAUUGCAACGGGAUUAAAUAAACACAAUCUGGGUUUUUUUGUUGUUCUUUUUUAUUGAAAGCCAGUAGCAAAAAUAAUGGAUGCUGUAAUUCAAAAUAAAGUGAGAACAUAUAUGGAGAGUACAUGACAACGCAUGGUCAAGAGACAUGCUCAAACCAUAUUUGCAGUGGGAAAUACAAAAAAAGAUGUGACAUGUUGGGAUGUGAACAAGCUGAGCAGAGGAGAAGAUAAAUCAACAAAUAAGAGAGAGAUGCUGAUAAAUUCUCUGAUUGAAGCCUAUGACCUGGCCUUUGCAGAAAGCAGGUCAUCAUUAUAUAACCAGGAAGUGGCCUGCCAACAUCCUGCAGCUUGUUUAUGGUGACAUCUUGUUGCCAGGGUGAUGGGGUCCUACCAGGCAGUGUCUUCAUUAGAAAUCACACAUGGCUGAAUCUGCCACUCUGCUCAGUCAACCUGCGCUACAUUAUCCACCUGAUUUCACACAAAAUUUGUUGAAACUGCAAUGAGUACAGGUGAUUUCACAUAUGCCAGUAGUGAAGACUCAAAAUCAAGUUCAAAAUCAUGACUUCAUUAACAAAAUACCUGAUAAACCGUUACUGUGUGGAUUUGAAUUAAAAGUAUGGAAUCAAGCAAGUGAUUUGUAAUGUUUCAAUUUGUCUUUGAACAAGCAAAACAACAUAUUUAAUGACAUGGUUUUACUAAAGAAACUUUUUUACUCAAAUCUUCAAGCAGAUGCAAAAGUAAGGAUCAGAUAGAUGUAAUAAAAUUCCAAAUGCAAAAACUUAACAAGUGGUAUUCUUUUGUUAAGAACCUUUUGUGUAAAGGCACAUAUUACUGUAUGUUUACUUUUUAAAAGUUAAUAUUGUUAUCAAACAUUUGGUCUGUAGUUUAUAAUAAAAUGAUUUUCCAUCCCAUAAAUAAAUGACCAUAUCUUAUUAUCUGAGAUUCAUUACCCAAAAAGGAAUGCUUUUGUAAAUGUUGUCAAGAGGUCUUGUAUUUUUGUAAAUUGUGAAAGUAUGUACAAAAAUUCCGCUGUGAAAUUGAUCAGCAAAUUCCUGACAACUCAUGGCAUACAACCCCUUUGCCUAGGCACUGAAAAAUCUGUGCAAAUUAUUGCAAAAUAUUCAAUUAAAUAUCAUGGAGUGAACUGACCACAGCUUAUUUUGGUAAAUAACAUAAUACCAAAUUACCAAAAUCUGAAACGUGAUGAGACCAGCCAUUCUUAUGGCUUUUUAAUCAGAAAACUAGAUUCUGAAAACACCCACGUUUCCUCCAGAGAGAGCAGCAGGAGGCGCUGUAAAGCUGUUAGCCUUCUAAUAAUGAAGCAGCAGUUAAAACAAACAAGGAUGGUGGGGGAAGGGUCAGUACUGUGGCUUGUGCACAUUAAUGCAAGAUUAACAUCGAAUGAGCAAUGGAAGUCCAUGACAAUGAUAUCAAAUACAUGGCCCCUACCUGUGAGGCCUAGUAAAAAAAAAGAGGGCUUGGCCUCGGCCUACAGUAAUGUGCAUGACAUAAUUAUACUAAAUAUCAAGGGAAGCCACUGGGCCAUAUGACGUGAAGUGCCAUGCAAAGUGCUACAUCAGGGUGGUUCAGUAGAACUGUGAAAGCACAUCCAUCAUCCAUCAUCCAUUUUUUUUUUUUGGCUAUCAUUUUUCCUUCAUCGUGUAGCUGAAGUGGUAGUCCGGCUCUUAUUUCACUGGGGAAACAAUCUGACAGAUUUAUUAUAAUAUUUCAUUCAUAUUUACAGUGGCCUCCACUAAUAUUGGCAGCAAAGAAGGCUGUGAAAAAAUGUCUUUAUUGUUUAAUCUUUUGGUUAAAAAAAAUUCAGUGAUCAAAAAAUGACAAUGAUCCUAAACAUAAAUCAAAAUCAACACAAAAAUGGUUUACUGACCACAAAAUCAAGGUCCUGCCAUGACCAUUCCAGUCCACUGACUUGAAACACACAGAGAACCUGUGGGGAGAACUGAAGAAUGGUCUCAGAUCCCUUGCCAUGUAUUCUCCAACCUCAUCAGGCAUUAUAGGAGAAAACUUAGAGCUGUUAUCUUUGCAAAGGGAGGUAGCACAUGGUAUUGACUAAAAGGGUGCACACCUAAUUGUUGCACACCUAUAUUUCACAAAGAUUUUUUUUAUAAACCUGUGUUUUGUUUGCAAUUGUUUGAGAUCCAUGAGAGCAGAGUAUUUUUGGUGAUUUUUUAAACAAAAGAUCAAAAGGUUAAACAAUAAAGACAAUUUCUCACAGCCUUUCU